UUGCUGAAUUAUUCACCCUUGUCUUUUGCGUACUUCUUGUUUCCUUGGUGGGUUCGCCCACCACUAGGACAAACAUAAACCUUUUGUAAUUGCAAUCAGCGUCAGUAACAAAUUAAUAAUUACAACUUUCAACAACGGAUCUCUUGGUUCUGGCAUCGAUGAAGAACGCAGCGAAAUGCGAUAAGUAGUGUGAAUUGCAGAAUUCAGUGAAUCAUCGAAUCUUUGAACGCACAUUGCGCCCUUUGGUAUUCCAAAGGGCAUGCCUGUUCGAGCGUCAUUUGUACCCUCAAGCUUUGCUUGGUGUUGGGCGUCUUGUCUCUAGCUUUGCUGGAGACUCGCCUUAAAGUAAUUGGCAGCCGGCCUACU
This 366-nucleotide ribosomal RNA is filed under the name uncultured fungus. RNAcentral describes it as "partial 18S ribosomal RNA". The stretch from base 124 to 277 matches the Rfam family "5.8S ribosomal RNA". The record is from RNAcentral. Lineage: Eukaryota; Fungi.